UCACCCUAGAAAAAUUCUAGGAAAUCAGACUGUAUUAAGCCAAUACACUAAUUCAUACAGCAGCCAAAUCAAGAGAAAAGAGUUCCAUAGCCACAUUCAAGAGUCCAUUAAAGCUCCACUGAAAAACAAGCUACUGCUGAUUUCAAGGGGGGAUUACAGAGCAAAAGGAGGAGUGUUUUGAAUCCUGAUGUAACAAAGAGGUACAAAGAUUGAGAGGUCAAUGAAUAAGGACCGUGAGUCAGUGAGUUUCCAGAAUCAGCUUGUCCUUGCAGACAUUUUUUUUUUUCAAUCUCAUUGAAAGAACUGGCACAUGAGGAUCUUCUGAUCUGCACCAUGGCAAUCAGAUCAGUUACAUAGGGUUGCAGGUGGUAAGAAGAAUGCAGGAGGAUCUGGCUUGGGUUCCAUCUGGCAAGGAAGGAAGAUACUUUAGCAGAAGAACCAGAUGCUACUUUGGAGCUUUGUGGCCUAGCACAGAUUUUUCAUUUUGA
This 488-nucleotide long non-coding RNA is filed under the name Crocodylus porosus (Australian saltwater crocodile). RNAcentral describes it as "lncRNA (ENSCPRG00005018461.1)". Lineage: Eukaryota; Metazoa; Chordata; Crocodylia; Crocodylidae. The record is from RNAcentral.